AGUGAACGCUGGCGGUAGGCCUAACACAUGCAAGUCGAACGGCAGCACAGUAAGAGCUUGCUCUUACGGGUGGCGAGUGGCGGACGGGUGAGGAAUACAUCGGAAUCUAUUUUUUCGUGGGGGAUAACGUAGGUAAACUUACGCUAAUACCGCAUACGACCUACGGGUGAAAGCAGGGGAUCUUCUGACCUUGCGCGAUUGAAUGAGCCGAUGUCGGAUUAGCUAGUUGGCGGGGUAAAGGCCCACCAAGGCGACGAUCCGUAGCUGGUCUGAGAGGAUGGUAAGCCACACUGGAACUGAGACACGGUCCAGACUCCUACGGGAGGCAGCAGUGGGGAAUAUUGGACAAUGGGCGCAAGCCUGAUCCAGCCAUACCGCGUGGGUGAAGAAGGCCUUCGGGUUGUAAAGCCCUUUUGUUGGGAAAGAAAAGCAGCAGGUUAAUACCCCGCUGUUCUGACGGUACCCAAAGAAUAAGCACCGGCUAACUUCGUG
This 492-nucleotide ribosomal RNA is filed under the name uncultured bacterium. RNAcentral's name for it is "partial 16S ribosomal RNA". It matches the Rfam family "Bacterial small subunit ribosomal RNA", at positions 29 to 507 of the family's 1533-position model. The record is from RNAcentral.